AGAAAAUGAGAGCUUAAUUGCGAGCUUGAAUGGGAUUGGGCUCAAACUUGGCCAAAGGUAUACCCGAGUCUCGCCUGAAAAUCAAUUGGACUCUAUAUCUUAGCCCAAAUUCGGUCCAAUUUUUUUGGGCCUAGCUUGAAGCAUGACCCAAAGUUAGCCUGGCCCGAUGGGCCUCGAGCCAGCCCACUCCCAAUUCCAAGCCUAAUCGC
This 209-nucleotide long non-coding RNA is filed under the name Elaeis guineensis (African oil palm). RNAcentral's name for it is "long non-coding RNA (EGUI_LNC013002)". Lineage: Eukaryota; Viridiplantae; Streptophyta; Magnoliopsida; Arecales; Arecaceae. The record is from RNAcentral.